CCUUCACCAACGGUAAAUAAAGAUGAAUUUAUGUUUGAUGUUCAUUCAAGCAUUUAUUUAACCUCUUUAGUAUGAAGAAACACUUGCUAUGGGAAACGUCUCAUGCACGUCCUCAGGGGCGCCUAACCUAGGAUUUCCUUUGCUGCUUAACGCAUUCUAUGUGUUAUCAUCAGCAAGUAAAACUUAUGUUUAUUUGAUUAUAAAACGAGUUACAUGGUCCUGGUGCAGGAUGUUGAAGAGAAGACAAGCAGCCGCAGGCAGCCCCUUAAUGGCUGGCCCGCAAGUUUUUAGGCCUUGGGUUGGGAGCGGCAGUAAGAAUUCAGAGCUUAUUUUAGUCGCAAUUAUUAUCUCAGCUUGCACUGGGCCUCUUGCGGUCUCAUGUAACGCCCGUAUUAUUCGCUUCUUUCGUCCUAUGCUCUGCAUGUUACCUGUGAGGUUUAGGACUCAUUAAUCUCUGGCCUCAAAUUUUCUUUUUUACCUGAAUGUGUGAUAUUUUUUUGAUCGCGCUCCCGUACCACUGAUGUUCACAGAUCGGUGGCUUGGCCUUUCCUGGUCUAUCUCGAUGUGGCUGUUGUCGUGCGACCUCCCUUGAUGCUUGGGCAAGGCUUCCCUGGCGCGAUGAGACUAAACUGCUAUCGAGCUCUGGCGCGCUGUGCCAGCGUUCCGGAUGAACGAACUUAGGGUUUCUUUGUCUUCCGCAGGUCGCUCCUGCUGCUGCUGGUAUCGGCUUGCUAGAUGGUCCGCUUCCCUUGGCUGGCAUGCAGGACUUCCCUCCAGGACCCCAUAGGUGGGUUGGAGCUCCAUGUCGCUGUGCGAAGGAUGGACAACGCUUUCAACAUCCCGCGUCUCUGUCUUACCCUGCCGGUUCCUCCCUCAGCUCAGGGAUGGAGAUGGCCGUAGGCGCCGCAACCUUUUCAGCCGGGGCCCACCUCACCAGCACUACCCCCUUCGGUCCAUUCCACAUGGGCUCUCCUACUUAGGUCGGUUUUAGUGUCCCGAUGUAUGGCUCUAGAAUAACCCAUAAAGGUGCUGUCGAGUGCUGAAUGAACAUCAAAGAUCGGCACUCAGUGGUACCAGCCCCGCUAGGCGUCUGGACCAGGUGCAUGUCCGCCCAGCUUCGGCCUGCAGAGCUAGUUCCCAACACCGACCCAGAGAUCGCCCUAGGAAUAGGAAUAGGCCUAUUCCCGGGGGUCUGGCCUAGGCCCUAACCAGAUGCUCCAGGGGCCAUUGGCUCCCUCCACCUGGCUUUCCCUCCAGGAUGCAGCUGCGACUGAGGUCUUUUUGGUUGGCGUACCAGCCAUGGCUGCAUGCGGACCUGGUGGACCUGCUGCACUGUGCAGCCUGCACAUCAUCCUUGCAGCCUGCACAUCAUCAGACGAUGUGCUCUUAUCUAUAUGAUAGCUUGGUUGUUGACCUGGCACCGAGGCCGAGAUAGUUGAACUGUCGGGGCAGCUGCUGAUAUGCCAUGCAGGCCGUGGUGGGUGCUUCAAUGUCGCGCACUAAUGGGAGGGCAACCCUUGCGAAUCCAUUUGGGUUCAG
RNAcentral lists this long non-coding RNA (1539 nucleotides) under Volvox carteri. RNAcentral describes it as "long non-coding RNA (VCAR_LNC002648)". The record is from RNAcentral. Lineage: Eukaryota; Viridiplantae; Chlorophyta; Chlorophyceae; Chlamydomonadales; Volvocaceae.